This is a non-coding RNA of Sesamum indicum (sesame), 2366 nucleotides long. NCBI's taxonomy places the organism in Eukaryota, Viridiplantae, Streptophyta, Magnoliopsida, Lamiales, Pedaliaceae. The record is from RefSeq and is a predicted model, not a curated record.
UUUGUAAGAGGAGUUGGGCCCAAUCUCACCACCUAAUUAAUUUCUUUGACCAGCCAACUUCGAACCCGAUCGUCUUCCACAACUUCAGGCUAGCCGACGCCGGUGGAGUCAACGGCGAGAGAAGCGAUUUUGGUAUAAUGGAUCAUCGUAUAAAGUCUUUCGACGAAUUCCGGUGUGCAAUUUCGUCAUCUGUAUGGACCUGAAAGCUUAAAGCAUUUUAUUCAUCAGGAUGUAGGCAUUUGUUGGUUAUCAUCAAGUCACUAGAGUUGACUGCAUUUUUUGAGGUAUUCAUGACGGGGUUUCUAUCUGCUAAUAUGAACUGAAAGUGAAACUAGUGUGUGUCCCCUCACCAGUUGUAAGCUUUGUUUGCUUGUAUUAGACUUUCUUCCGUAUGCAUUCAUGUAAGCUUUGCUUGCUUGUUUUGCGAUUUGUGUUCUGUGUGGGACAGGGAAGAGAAGCUUGUAACUGUGUUUGGAUUUAUUUCAUGUUUUGAAUCACAUGAAAGAUGCAUUUUCAUAUUGAUGUACAAUGAAUUUCAGCAGAUUCUUUAACUUCAUGCUAAUUUGCGGAACAAAGGUGUUUUCAGCCUACACUUUUGCAGUUGUGUCGGAAUUCAUAUAGCCUGUGAGCAUAAUGGAUGGGCCACAUGAUGUUCAGUGCCACUGGACCUCGAGUUUAUUGUUUAUCACGAUGACUCAAGGUUGUUCCAAAUCGUGGCAAUGCCAGAAAUAAGUUUUAGAACUUUGUUUUCAUUAUUCAGCACUAUUCCAAAUCUAUAAUUCUGGACAGGGAGUGGCAAGAUGCUCAUAUGGAGGUUACAUACACAGAUGUAACUACCUUUGUGUUUUCUGAUGCUGCAACGUUAAUGGGCCAUCUGGAAGAUCACCUUAUGAAAGAUCAACAUAUUGGUAUUGGCCAGUGAUAACUUUUCUUCUAAUGCCUAAUUUGUUUCUUCAUCAUUCUUGGGGAAAAUUCUUUUCACGGCCUCAGGUAUCAUGGCAAAGUACUUUACUUUUCAAAAUGGCAAUUGAAAAAGAUUGUCUUUAUAUUUGAUUGACUUUGAAUCUGGUGGGAUAUAAGAACAAUGAAACAUGUGUAUUGAUCAUCUAUUGUGUGGUUUUGUGCUUAUAUUAAAUCAAUAUUUGGUGAAGGUCAAGUUGAUAUGAAGUGAAUACUAUCAUCUUAAUUCAUUGGAGCUUAGUUGAAUAGUGAUGGCUAAUAUCUAGCAGUUCAUGGAGCGGUAUAGUUUUCAUGACUAGGUUCAGAUUUUGAGGUUUUGCUAAUGACUGGUAAUAGGUGAAUUUUCUUUUCUUUUCGUUUGUGUGUGUGUGGUUGUGCAUUGUUUUUGAACAUUUAAUUUGAUUUCAGGAUUGAAACUAGGCAAAUUUUGUGGCCAGACCAAGUUAUGGACAUAGAUAUCAUCACCUUUAAGGUGAAGCAAAAUGGGGAAAAGACAAGGAAAAAGAAAAAAGAGCUAGGAAAAGUUAACUCCUCUCUGAAAUUAAGCCGUUCUUUCCAUAGUUCUAGCUCAUGGAUAUUAGGAGGAUUGAAACUUUUUCUUCUUUGGGCAAUCUUGUAGAACGUCUCUAACCAGUCUGGGAAGUUCAGCAAUUUUAGAUAUAUUAGCUUAUGAACUGGCUAUAGAUGCCUUGAUAUAUACUACAUGUUCGAUGAAAUUUCCAUAAUGAUGUAUGGUAUAUUAAAUUCACUUGGCAGAUCUACUGGUGUCUGCUUAUCCAUAGAAUUCUGAGGUUACGACGGUGCCUGAGAAGCUCUCUACGUAUUCAGUGAUGGUUUGGCUUUUCAAAUCAUUCACUUUUACCAUUGGAACCCAUGGGAACUGUGAGCGCAUUUUCUGUUGCCACGAUUCUAUGGAUCUUAAUCUCUUUGAUGAAUGACCAUCUGUCGCAGACUGCAUUUUGCUAUGGGCUUGACAUUCACCUGAGAAUAUGCAUUUCCAAGCAUCUUACUUCUUGAUCCGCAUUACUUCCGAUCUAUGCAGCUAGUUCUGAUCUCCCUAUUUGCAAAUGACUUACCCCAUUGUGUUUAUUUCUGCAGACGUUGACGUAUAUAGCAUUCAACAAGGUCAUAAUGGUACAAUACUCUGUGUGAUUCUACUGUCUAGCUACUGCCUCAAAUAUUGCCAUGGAGCAACAUGAAGCUUAAAUGGAAAUGCAUGGCUACAUAUUUCUUGCAAUUUACCUAUGGCUUUAUUCGGGUUUGGUUUCGGACAUAUACAUGGUUAACAGUAAAGUUGCCACUUUUGUAUUACAUCUGCUAUAUAUAUAAAUGCGUGGGCGUACAAUAGAAAAUGUACUAAUCAUAUCAUAUAAUUACAUCUAAUCAACAUCUAUUAUUAAAGUUUA